RNAcentral lists this ribosomal RNA (160 nucleotides) under uncultured eukaryote. RNAcentral describes it as "partial 18S ribosomal RNA". It matches the Rfam family "Eukaryotic small subunit ribosomal RNA", at positions 1487 to 1650 of the family's 1831-position model. The record is from RNAcentral.
CCGCACGCGCGCUACACUGAAGGGAUCAGCGUGUCUUCCCUUCCCGAGAGGGACGGGUAACCCGCUGAACCCCUUCGUGGUAGGGAUCGGGGCUUGCAAUUAUUCCCCGUGAACCAGGAAUUCCCAGUAAGCGCAAGUCAUAAGCUUGCGUUGAUUACGU